CCUACGGUGGGCAGCAGUCGAGAAUCAUUCACAAUGGGGGAAACCCUGAUGGUGCGACGCCGCGUGGGGGAAUGAAGGUCUUCGGAUUGUAAACCCCUGUCAUGUGGGAGCAAAUUAAAAAGAUAGUACCACAAGAGGAAGAGACGGCUAACUCUGUGCCAGCAGCCGCGGUAAUACAGAGGUCUCAAGCGUUGUUCGGAAUCACUGGGCGUAAAGCGUGCGGAGGCUGUUUCGUAAGUCGUGUGUGAAAGGCGCGGGCUCAACCCGCGAACGGCAAAUGAUACUGCGAGACUAGAGUAAUGGGGGGGGACCGGGAGUCUUCGGUGUAGGAGGGAA
This 336-nucleotide ribosomal RNA is filed under the name uncultured bacterium. RNAcentral describes it as "partial 16S ribosomal RNA". It matches the Rfam family "Bacterial small subunit ribosomal RNA", at positions 338 to 685 of the family's 1533-position model. The record is from RNAcentral.